Strigops habroptila (Kakapo) is the source of this 5292-nucleotide long non-coding RNA. RefSeq lists it as uncharacterized. The transcript is spliced from 4 exons. NCBI's taxonomy places the organism in Eukaryota, Metazoa, Chordata, Aves, Psittaciformes, Psittacidae. The record is from RefSeq and is a predicted model, not a curated record.
AGUUGUUUGUUUUAUUUCAAGGCCCCAGUGGGCCCAGCCCUUCCUGCCCAGCAGCUGCAGCAGGCUCCAUUCCUGCUCAGUGCCUGGCCUGGGAAGAGCUUGCUUGCUGGCCCAUGAGAGUGGUUCUCCGUAACUGGCUUGUGGGGAAUGCUGUGUGAGAGGAUCUGUUUGGGCUAUUGCUGGGCUCCAUACAGAAUGCAGGCAUGAUCUGGAAUGUUGAUCGAGUCUAAGGAUAAAGCAACAAAGAAAAUGGCCACCAGUUUAAAUGCCAUAAUUCAAAUAAUUGUGAAUGAAAUGCCCUAUGUCUAAGACUUUCUGCCAUGAUCAUCGGAGGAAUGAAUGAGACCUCUUAACGCAGCCCUGCUCUUUUGUUUAGGUUACCAUUUUAUGAUCUUUUUACUUGUGGAAACAAGGGCAAGCUCAUCCCAUUCACGGAAUCACAUGGGUGAUUUCUUGCUUGGAAAGCACUUGAGUAGUGCAAGGAUGGCAUGACAGAAAAGUCAUCAGACAUUCAUAAUCCUAUCUUCAUAGCAAGUCUUGAGUAUAGGUCAGCAAAUAAGAUCUGGUCAGCAGUCAGAAUAGAAAAAAAAAGGAAAGUUGAACAUUCAUGUGUGUAAUAAUUAGCAUCUAGUCUGUCCCCUGAAUGAGGAAAUGGCUUUAGGAAAAAAUAGUCAUGUCAUCCAUAGUCCUGCAUGCACUGUGUAUGCCGAGGGGCCUGAAAUGCAAUUGUCUGGGAAAUCUUGGAAGGUUGUAAGUUUUGAGUGAUUGACUUUGUAUCUGUAAUGUUCUUUUAAUAUGAUUUUUGGCAUAUAAUUUGCUACUUGGUAUUAUCUGUAGCUCAAGCAGUAGAAGAGGUAGACAAAGGCAUGAAAAUAAAGUAAUUCUACACUGAAGGAAAGAAACAGCAAAUUCUUCUCUUAGACCCUUGGAUAACUUCCUGUUUUGUCUGCAAAAUAAUAUUUUUCCUUAGAGAGGGAAAAGGUGUUAGACAUAGCAAUUUCACAUGGAUAGAAACAUCAUCAUAUAAAUAGCCUGCUGUGAAUGGCAUUUUAGGCAGCUUAAUCAAUAUCCUGCCAGGAGGAAAAAAAAAAAACCCAGAAAAAAUCCCCCAAAAACCAAUUGUAAAUUCAAUGCAUUCCUUAAUUGAAGAUAUAUUGGAAUUUUUCAUAGAUACAUGUUACUUAUAAAAGAGUGAGAAAAUAAACCUUGCAUUACUCUAAUGUCAUAACCAUUCAUAUACUAAUACUAAUUAUCUGUUGAUGAAACAUUUGUAUGAUGUGGGGUUUUUUUGUUUUGUUUUGUUUAACUUGCCACGGAAUAGUGGCUCUAUAUUCUUGAUAACAAUUAUCAUACACAAGCACAUAGCACUUUUCACUCAGAUUUCAAAGAACUCAGCAAAAAUUUCACUGUUUUGUAGAUGGGAGAAGAGCAGAGAGAGGUAAGGAGCUUGUCUAGAGCAUCACAGCAUGUCUAAAGUACUGUAUUCUGCCCAUAGCUUGGUGCCUCCCAACAUCACUACACCAGAGCUGGAUUUUGUGCAUGUUAUAUCCUUAGAUGUGUGACACAGGUCUGCAGGAUGCCCUUGCACAGUGAAAUAACACAGAUUUAGAUUGUUGUUUCUAAGACCACAAGCUUGGUGGAAAAGGGAUUUGAAAGCUAAUCAACGAAAGUUAGGGCUUGAAACACGACUGUAGUUCACUAGCACAUUUAACACAGUUGUCAGUGUUUAAUUAGGAGGCAUUUAAGGCUAAAUAUUCAAGUGUGGCAUUUGGAAUUUAGUGCUACACAAAAAGGUGAGAAAAGCUUCUGCCCUGACAAGAAGUUGUGAAAACUUGCAGUCUUGUGACCAGUGGAAGUUUAAAAGUACAGACAGGCAUGACCUCUUUCAGCAGAUGUGCUAGUUAGCUUAAACUGUCUAAAUAGUAAUGCCACUCACUUUAACUUCAAGUGGCUUUGGGAGUGUUUCUGUAAGCAAGCUCUGCCAACAAAUGUGAGAGAGCAGUAACCUCUGCAAAGAAGUGAUGAUCAACAGCUGGGACUCUAACCUUCCCCUGGCAUGUCUGCAUCCAGCAGGGAACAUCUGUCCAAAGCCUGUCUUUCAAAGUUUACAGAACAAAGGUAUAGUUUGUUUAACAAAAUUGCUCGUAUUAGCUAGGUAAUGGAAUGUGCUUUGAUUCUGCUGAUGCCAGAACCACGCAACUUUUACUUUCCUUAUUUAAUUAGGAUUCAUUUAUUUAGAAAGCUCAAGAGUGGGGUUUUCAGUUUGUUUGUUUGUAUAAAGUAAAGAAAAUAGAGCUUAGGUCAUGUAAGGCUCUCUUAGCUUAGGAAAAACUUUUAUGUUACUCAGAUCUUUUUUUUUUUCCCAUCAAGCUGUGUAAAACAUUUAAUGAUAAAAUUGUCCCAAAGCACGUUACAAUUUUUUUGGUAUCAUUUCAAUAUGCCAAGCAGAUGGGAGUAUACAGUGGUCCCAUUAAGUGUUUGAGGUUUAAACACAUGCUCUUGAAAAAUGAGCAGUGGUAAACAAAGUUGAUUCCUACAUUUAAGAUCUUGGUAGGUACUGGUAUCCAUUAAUUUUUUUUUGCUGACAAAAUGGCAUCAUGAAAUACCUACAGACAGAUUGCUCCUUUGAUUUAAGAAUGACUAAAACAGCAUGCAGAACAUGCAGAGUACCAUAUGAAACUUCAGUGUAUCAUUAUUCUUUAUGUCACUAAUUUGAAUUCAAAUGCUAUUUUGUACUUAUUUUCGUAAAUAAAUAGGAACCAAGUUUGGAAAGUUAGGGCAAGUGACUCAUGAAAAGAAUUUCCUUCUUUUUUUUUUUUUCCCUUUUCUUUCCCUAGGAGUUCCCUAGCCAUAUUUGUGUCUGUGAAAGUACAGCACCUGCUGAAGAAGGAUAAGGUCAAGUUAAGUGUUGAUUCCUACACUUGCUACUUCUGGGCAUUCCUUGGUUAAAUCAUGCAUUUGUUAGCCAUAGAAUAAACCAGCGUUGAACAAUCCUUGAAAUAGCUCGAACCGUGAGUAAGAGCUUUUUAUAAUACAAAAGGAGACAGGCAUAAGAACCCUUGUAGAUAUAUAAUCUAUCUCCAGAACAGAAUUAUGUAAUUUGACAGUAUGUUUUUGUGGAUAAGAGGAACUAAAGUUAUUUUAAACUUCUCUCUCUUUUUCUCCUACCUUUGAGGUUAUAGGUGUAAUGAAUACCCCAAAUAUCAUUUGUUCUUGUCUGCACUUCUUUCAGUAUGAGUCUCCAAAGCAACAAGGAACAUCUCUUGUGGAAAAAAGGGUACUGCAGAUGGUGAAAUAAGAAUGAAAGUAAAAGAAAUAUGAUAAACAGUGUCUACUGAGAAAGCUCCCAUGGAACUGCUGAGUGAGGAUUGCUGACGCUUGGAGUCGUGUAAUUGUGAAACUUAGUGAAGAAGAGCUGUCGGGAGAUCUCUAAUUAGAUAGUGUAGCCAACCCCCAUAGAUAAUGUUUCCUACGUGCGCCACUAAGGGGUGUUACGUCAGAGAAACUGGUGUGUUGUGCACCCCGUGAAAUGGCCAAAAAAAGACACAGACUAGUAAAAAGACAUGGAAAGUUUUUCUGGGGUGGAUCUUUUUGUGUGUGAUCUAUCCAAUUCUACGGUAUUCUGCACAGUUGUGAAGGAAAAGAAAGGUUUUGUAUUAUCUGGAAAGCGGAGCGGUGGGUAGAUACCCGGUAUAUAGGGGGUUCGUUGCAGUUUCUAUUUGCCUUGAUUCUGCCAUUUGGAAGAUGAUUAAAUGAACACCUCGUCCUAACUUGUUUUGCACACAUCAUAGAUAGGAGAGUGAAAAAAUAUCAUUCAUUAUUUGUAACUUAAGGUCUUUAAAAAAAUCUUUUGCACUUGGGGCACCAAGUUGUGGGUUUUUUAAUGGAAGAAUUCUCUGUUUACUUUGCAUGUCGUUCUUUUAGAAAUAUAUUUUUUCAUACAGGAAGGUGUUAGUGGCUGCCAUCAGAUGGUUCUUAUAUCUGUAUAAAGUCUUAGAUCUGGGUAAAGAUGUUAAAUGUGCUAAACAGUUUUCCUUUGGGCUAAACGAUAGGAAUAUUUAAACAUGUUUUUAGCUGCUUGUAGGAAGGCGGUAAUAAGCAAAGCAAAGGCUGAGCAGAAUUAGGCUGUGCAGUUUGAGAGACUGGUUCCAAAUGCAGCAGAAGUUGGGUAAGAAGCUGCAAGCAUGGCUUAGGAGUAAGUGGAGAGUCAAGGCCCUUUGGGGCUUAUGACUCACUGGCCAGGGAGGCUUGGGCAUGCUGAGCAAUGAAAGUGGCUGUUACUGUUUGAUUUUUUACUUGGUGUGAUUAUAUACGUUGCAAACAGCAUUGCACAAAAUACAACCGCAACGAACACCUGUUCAUAUCAUCAGCUUCUUUCUCAGGGAUGUAGCCCAUGGCUGGUGCUGCACAUACAGCUGUGCAGGAUACAUAUCUGUACAUCAGGUUAUGUCAAGAUACCGUAAUGAAAUACUCUGCUUCUGAAAGAAUUUGUGAUACAAUGUCCAGAGAAGCAAUACUAAUAACUUUCUUAUCCUUGGCACAGAAAUGAGAAUUAUAUAGGUCACUCUUGACUCUUUAUAGAAACAUUUGAGCGCUGCUUUAAAGAAAGCCUAUCUGUUACUUAGCAAAAAUACCAGACAGCUUGAAGAUAAGGUGUGUAGUGAACGGAGCAGCAUUUACACUUCUAAACUGUCUACUUCUACUGACCAAGUAGGCAAGAUAUCCCUUCACAUUGGUGCAAUUCUUUCCAGGUAUUUACCUGAGAAGUAUUUCGUGCAGUAACAAAGCCCAGUAACUCAGCUGCAAUCAGGAUCUGUUGAAAAUGCAUGAUCUGGCAAAAUUCUGGAUGGGUGCACUCAAGGGUUGAUAGUUGCUUGUAAGCUUGGACCAGUAAUUAAUCAUGAGGAAGUUAAGAAGGAAAAAAACUGAGCAGAACAGGAGUGCCAAGAUAUUAUCAAAACACACCUAGAGAAAACAGUGCUCUCAUAAUUAUUUUAUUAAUAAUAAUAUUGAUUUUUUUUUAUUUCAGCUGGGGUAAUAGCUGUGCUUUCCAGUGAAGUCAGUGGGAGCUGUGCAUGAUUCGGAGGUGUGAUGGUAGUAUCUUCAAUGAAAAAUACACCGUAUUGUAACAACAGUGAACAUCGCGAAUACAGGAAUGAGAAGUGGUUGCAAGCUGUAACCCGUCUGCAUCAAAGUCAGCAAGGAAAACGCAUGUUGUACCCUGUAUUAUUUGUAAAGUAGAACAUGAUUUUACAAUUAAAGGCUUGUGUCAUACUGGAUACACUAAGGAAA